CUUCGGCAAUGGGCGAAAGCCUGACCGAGCAACGCCGCGUGAAUGAUGAAGGCCUUCGGGUUGUAAAAUUCUGUUAUAAGGGAAGAACGACUUUAGUAGGAAAUGGCUAAAGUGUGACGGUACCUUAUGAGAAAGCCACGGCUAACUACGUGCCAGCAGCCGCGGUAAUACGUAGGGGGCAAGCGUUAUCCGGAUUUACUGGGUGUAAAGGGAGCGUAGGUGGUAUGGUAAGUCAGAUGUGAAAGCCCAGGGCUCAACCCUGGGAUUGCAUUUGAAACUGCCAAACUAGAGUGCAGGAGAGGUAAGUGGAAUUCCUAGUGUAGCGGUGAAAUGCGUAGAUAUUAGGAGGAACACCAGUGGCGAAGGCGGCUUACUGGACUGUAACUGACACUGAGGCUCGAAAGCGUGGGGAGCAAACAGG
RNAcentral lists this ribosomal RNA (421 nucleotides) under uncultured prokaryote. RNAcentral's name for it is "bacterial SSU rRNA". It matches the Rfam family "Bacterial small subunit ribosomal RNA", at positions 363 to 776 of the family's 1533-position model. The record is from RNAcentral.